UCUUAUUCCUCCCCCACUUUUAUUUUUUACUCUUUUCUUUUGUCUAAUUUUUUUCUCCUAAUAAAGAGGUAAAGCAUCUCCUCCACGUGCUCUUCGCUCUCCUCUCUUCUCUUUCUAUCCACAGAUCCGAUGCUCAUCAAACAUCAUGAUGGGAGAAUGCACAUCGGCUAUUUACACAGUGAACCGCAUGCCACAUGGCAUAUAUGAUGACGGGUAUAGUUGGUGCUGACUGUAC
This 235-nucleotide long non-coding RNA is filed under the name Elaeis guineensis (African oil palm). RNAcentral describes it as "long non-coding RNA (EGUI_LNC082767)". The record is from RNAcentral. Lineage: Eukaryota; Viridiplantae; Streptophyta; Magnoliopsida; Arecales; Arecaceae.